UACAGGGGGUGCAAACGUUGCUCGGAAUCAUUGGGCGUAAAGCGCACGUAGGCGGUCUGUUAUGUCGGAUGUGAAAGCCCUUGGCUUAACUGAGGAAGUGCAUCCGAAACUGGCAGGCUAGAGUACUAAAGAGGGUCGCGGAAUUCCCGGUGUAGAGGUGAAAUUCGUAGAUAUCGGGAGGAACACCGGUGGCGAAGGCGGCGACCUGGGUCGACACUGACGCUGAGGCGCGAAAGCGUGGGGAGCGAACAGG
Molecule: ribosomal RNA, 253 nt
Filed under: uncultured bacterium
Lineage: Bacteria
Description: partial 16S ribosomal RNA
Rfam family: Bacterial small subunit ribosomal RNA
Source: RNAcentral